GACGAACGCUGGCGGCACGCUUAACACAUGCAAGUCGAACGAGAAGCUCGGAGCUUGCUCUGGGUGGACAGUGGCGAACGGGUGAGGAACACGUGAGGAACCUGCCCUGGAGACCGGGACAACAUCGGGAAACCGUUGCUAAUACCGGAUGCCCUCAUCGGACCGCAUGAUCUGAUGAGGAAAUGGAUUCCGCUCCAGGAUGGCCUCGCGGCCUAUCAGCUUGUUGGUGGGGUAACGGCCCACCAAGGCUUCGACGGGUAGCUGGUCUGAGAGGAUG
This 277-nucleotide ribosomal RNA is filed under the name uncultured bacterium. RNAcentral's name for it is "partial 16S ribosomal RNA". It matches the Rfam family "Bacterial small subunit ribosomal RNA", at positions 28 to 302 of the family's 1533-position model. The record is from RNAcentral.